Molecule: ribosomal RNA, 390 nt
Filed under: uncultured organism
Description: bacterial SSU rRNA
Rfam family: Bacterial small subunit ribosomal RNA
Source: RNAcentral
UGGUUCAGGCAUGCAAGUCGCACGAUUCCGCAAGGAAUAGUGGCAGAAGGGUUAGUAACACGUGGGUAAUCUACCCUCGAGACGGGGAUAACAUUUCGAAAGAAAUGCUAAUACCCGAUGAAAUUAUCGGAACAUAAGUUUUGAUAAUCAAAGGUAGCUCGCAAGGGCUGUCACUUGAGGAGGAACCCGCGGCCUAUCAGCUAGUUGGUGAGGUAACGGCUCACCAAGGCAUUUGACGGGUAGCUGGUCUAAGAGGACGGUCAGCAACAUUGGGACUGAGACACUGCCCAGACUCCUACGGGAGGCUGCAGUCGAGGAUCUUUAGCAAUGCCCGCAAGGGUGACUAUGCGACGCCGCGUGGAGGAUGAAGGCCUUCGGGUCGUAAACGCC